CCUACCUAGUCCCUCAUUCCAUUUCCACCCCCCAUCCAGCUGUGUGAAGAGUGGGCCCGCCCAUCCUGGAGCACCCCCUGUGGUGGGAAGCCGUGAGCCAGCCUCACUUACUCUUUCAUGUCUCCUUGAGGCAGAGGGGACAUGGCCGGUGGCUGGAGAAGCUUCACUUCUCCUUUAAUGGUGGCCCUCUUGAUCCCCGGCUUGCUGAAGUCGAGCUGAGUGUCAGUCAUCCGUUCCAGGCUGUGCUCCGAGGCCUGGAUGAGUUUGUCUGCCCAGAAGAGGUGCUUAGAGGUCUGCACACAGAUAGAGCGAUGGUUGGUGGACACCUGGUCCUCCUCUGCUGAACUCAGCAGAAUUCACAGGUGAAGUGUGUGAACCUGAGCCUGGAGUUUCCUUGUCCAUUUCAUCUAAGUUGUUUGGCUAGAGAUGUCAAUUCUGUUGAUCUUCUUGAACCAGACAGAGAUAUGUCUGUUUCCUGCCUGAUCAUACUAAAGUGACAUCUGCCAGGGAAUCAGUCCUGCAGUUCCCAAUCAGCUUUUUAUGAUUUCACUCUUAAACAUGAACAGCCAAGCAUCACCAGACAUUUGAGGAAACUUCCCACAUGCAAUUGACAGAUUAAGAGAAAAGAUGACUCUAGAUUACCAGAGGUUAUUUGGGAAACAGAAAGGAGCUUUAAAAAUACCUAAACCCUUAAGUGAUUCUGGGAUAUAGAUAUUCAACUAUAGAUAUUGCAUCCAAAAAGCAAGAACAGGAUGCUCUUAAAAAAUUAGGAGAAAGAAAGAGCUUUUGGCAAAAAGACUUGGAAAAUAAAACAGAAAAUCUUCCCAGAAAGUAGAACCAAAGUAUCAAGACUAUGUGAGAGAAAAUGAUCAAGAGGCAGUACGGUUCUGAGUUAUAGAAAGGAAAUCCAGAAAGAAUAGAGAACAUAGAAAAGGAAAGAGACAUCAAAAUUUUCAUGAACUGAAUGAUGUCAUUGGCUUAAAAGGGUUCACUGAACACUCAGCAUUAUAGAUGUCAAAAGAUCCUUGCUGUGAAAGUUCAUUUGCACCAGGAACAAAGAAUUCUUAAAUGCUUCUAGAGUAGAAAAACCAGUCACCUACAAGGGGAGAGGAAUCAAUUAUACUGACAGCAGAGUUAGCAACAAUGGCUGCCUUAAAAAUUUUGAGGAAAAUGUUUUUUAAAGUAUAGGUUUAUAUCCAGCCAAACUAUCAUUUCAGACAUGGAAUGACUUACGAAAUUUACUUCCUCUUUUUUUUUUUUAAGGAAGUUAUUUGAGGAUGUGCUAAAAACAAAAUAAAAGGUGUGAAACAAGAGAGCCAAGAAGGAAAUAGUGGUCCACCCACUAUUAGGAAAGCGGCUAAGUCCUAGGAUGUUAACUGUAGAAUGGCAAGAUGAUGAAGGGUUCUGGGUAGUAGAUUUCUGAAAUAAAGAAAACUUGACAGAAUAGUUAACUAGAUGAAAACUAAGACUGAUAAAACCAAAGAAUAUAAGGAAAAGGCAACCAGAAACUCCAGGAAAAAUGAAAAGCUGUCUGAGAAAGAAAAAGUAACUGUGGUACCUUUAUUGGUUGUGCAGUCAACAGUAGUUAUGUAGUCACAACAAUUCAGGGUUUCAACUUUCAGAAUCAACAUAUAAAUAAAAAUUGAAAAACAUAGUUGUGGUUAUAGGACAAUGUAAGUGUUACCAACCUUGAUAAAAAUACAGGUUAGAGUUGCUGGGAGGUGGGAGGGCAGGAGGAAAGCUGAAGGGAAAGGUAGGGGCACUAAAAACUUCAUCUUACUAUGUGUGGUAUCAAAAGAUAUUGUCUAAAGUGAUGAAAAAUAAAGAUAUAAGUAUAUUAAACUUACAAAAGCAUCAGCAGACUAAAAAUGAUGUUGGGAGGAUGGGGAAGGGUGGAUCCAUUAGAGCAGGAAGGUGAUAAUGUCUAGAACUGAUAAACCAAGAAAGAUAGCUUGUAGAAAGAUAAGAAGGUAAUUAGAAAAACAGUUCAAAUGAAACAAUUGUGGUUGUUCUGAGGAGUGAGACUGGGGGUGUGCUAUAGAGGAUACUUGCUUUUCAUCACCGAGUAAACUCUUCAGUGCUAUUUAAUCACAUGCAUAAAUUUCUUUGAUAAAAUUAAAUGUUGAGCCCUUGAAUAAGGGCCAUGCACUGUUCUAGGGGACACAGUGAUGAACACACACAGCCUCUGCCCUCUUGGGGCUUCCAAGCCUGUGGCUGGGACCACAGAAGCUCCUCCAAUCUCUAUUUAUUAUUCCCACUUCUCCUAAGCUCUAGACUCAAACUCCAGUCACCAACUGCACAUCUCUCCCUAAAGGUAUCUCUCGCUGGUUAGGGCCUUAGAUGUCUCCUAUCUCUGAAAUGUUCCUUGCUUUCUGUUGUGAUGAUGCUCAGGGCUUUGCUUUCUGGAGACCUUCAGAGCUCCAACCCUUGCGUCUAUCUCCUCCAGUUGCCUCCACCCACUCCCUGCAGACCUCUGAGCACAGGACCUCUUGCUGACCCUUAUUAGAGCUGGGCAGACUGUGUGGGCUGCCCAUUUUGAAUCUCUGAUCUGCUACACACAGAGUCUGCAAGGUGGAUGCUCAGCAAAAGUCUGUGCAAAGAAAUGAAUUCUUCAUCCUUCUCACCCUGCCAGACCAUGUGGCUUGUCCUCUAUUUUUCACCUCAAGUUCACACUCUUAUAUGUCCAGAUUCGAGUGUGGCCCGCAUGAUUUGUAUGCCUGACCCAUCUUCCUUUCUAAUCACUCAGAUCUUGAUCACCCCCUCUUCCCCUGAUAAUCCUUUAUGCUAACACCCAAAUUAGAAACCUGGGUUGUGACCCCCCUCACAUCUCCAGCUUGACUUCCCCUACCUCUGAUGUUGACCUUUUGUACAGGUCCCUUUCUCCAUCCCUACUGCUUCUCCUCACCUCCCAACACCAAAGUCAACACAAACCUAGGACUGACUACCUUCUGGCUGAGUGCUUCCCAUUUUGCCUCCUCUUAGCCACUCUGUGCCCAUGUGGUCAUGACUCUGCUCUCACAGAUGAAACUGCACAGGUCACACAUCUGGUAAGAGCAGUGCCUUGACCCGAAGAACCCAGGUCUGACUGGCCACUGUGUUCUUUGAAAUCUCUUUAGGCUUCUAGCUGGACCACUGCAACCAUAUUUCCCUCCAAUUUGGGCUUAAUGACCUCAGAGUGAGCCUGCUGUAUCACACCAGCCUCUGGUCACAUCCAGGCUAUAGAGUGGCUUCAAAGAUCCUGUGUGGUCUGCCCUCUGCCCUCUGGUUGCAUCUCCUGGUAGCCCGCUCCUUCCUUGCCCCGAGUGCAAGCUCCCCCAAAGCAGCUUUUGUGCCUAAGUGCCUUUGCACCUAUUUCAGACACUCAGAAAGUCUUACAUCUGGCAAAAUCCUACUCAUCCCUGACAGGCCAACUCACCUCCCCGGUGUCAUCUUCUGUGUGACACACCUAGCCGUCCUACCCACAUUUUAAUUUUUAGUUAACUCAUCAGACUCAGGGCCUAACACAAGACUAAGAGCUGAAGGGGGUGCAAUAAAUGUCACAGGAGUGAUUUAAGGUGUCUGCAUAAAUUUGUCACCCCACGAGUUUGGGAAAGGGAAAAGCUGCUCUCUGGUUGUUGGUUCUUGGCACAUUUUUAAUGUUGGCCCAUGUCCUGGGAGAGAAGGUCCCAAGAAGAAAGCCCCCAUUUCAGUGGAGACCUAAAGGGCACACAGCUUUUUGCUCAUUGCUAGAGAAGAGUGCAAAGGCCAAAGGAGGCCAGUAUUUGUGGAAGCCAACUGCUUCUCUCUGCAAAGCCUCCAAUCGUCAGCCAGGAACAACUGAAUGUGAUUUGGGGGUUAUGAGCGGUU
Molecule: long non-coding RNA, 3846 nt
Organism: Canis lupus familiaris (dog)
Lineage: Eukaryota; Metazoa; Chordata; Mammalia; Carnivora; Canidae
Exons: 4
Source: RefSeq, a predicted model, not a curated record